ACGGAGGAUGCGAGCGUUAUCCGGAUUUAUUGGGUUUAAAGGGUGCGUAGGCGGGCUGGCAAGUCGGCGGUCAAAUGUCGGGGCUCAACCCCGGCCUGCCGUCGAAACUGCCGGCCUUGAGUGAGCGAGAAGCAGGCGGAAUGCGUGGUGUAGCGGUGAAAUGCAUAGAUAUCACGCAGAACCCCGAUUGCGAAGGCAGCCUGCCGGCGCUCAACUGACGCUGAGGCACGAAAGUGCGGGGAUCGAACAG
RNAcentral lists this ribosomal RNA (250 nucleotides) under uncultured bacterium. Its description in RNAcentral is "partial 16S ribosomal RNA". It matches the Rfam family "Bacterial small subunit ribosomal RNA", at positions 525 to 775 of the family's 1533-position model. The record is from RNAcentral.